RNAcentral lists this ribosomal RNA (508 nucleotides) under uncultured bacterium. RNAcentral's name for it is "partial 16S ribosomal RNA". It matches the Rfam family "Bacterial small subunit ribosomal RNA", at positions 30 to 523 of the family's 1533-position model. The record is from RNAcentral.
AUUGAACGCUGGCGGCAUGCCUUACACAUGCAAGUCGAACGGCAGCGGGGGAGAAGCUUGCUUUUCCUGCCGGCGAGUGGCGAACGGGUGAGUAAUACAUCGGAACGUGCCCUGUAGUGGGGGAUAACUAGUCGAAAGAUUAGCUAAUACCGCAUACGACCUGAGGGGGAAAGUGGGGGACCGCAAGGCCUCAUGCUAUAGGAGCGGCCGAUGUCUGGUUAGCUAGUUGGUGGGGUAAAGGCCUACCAAGGCGACGAUCAGUAGCUGGUCUGAGAGGACGAUCAGCCACACUGGGACUGAGACACGGCCCAGACUCCUACGGGAGGCAGCAGUGGGGAACUUUGGACAAUGGGCGAAAGCCUGAUCCAGCAAUGCCGCGUGUGUGAAGAAGGCCUUCGGGUUGUAAAGCACUUUUGUCCGGAAAGAAAUGGCUCUGGUUAAUACCUGGGGUCGAUGACGGUACCGGAAGAAUAAGGACCGGCUAACUACGUGCCAGCCGCCGCGGUAA